RNAcentral lists this ribosomal RNA (252 nucleotides) under uncultured bacterium. Its description in RNAcentral is "partial 16S ribosomal RNA". It matches the Rfam family "Bacterial small subunit ribosomal RNA", at positions 524 to 776 of the family's 1533-position model. The record is from RNAcentral.
UACGUAGGGGGCAAGCGUUAUCCGGAAUUAUUGGGCGUAAAGAGUACGUAGGUGGCAACCUAAGCGCAGGGUUUAAGGCAAUGGCUCAACCAUUGUUCGCCCUGCGAACUGGGAUGCUUGAGUGCAGGAGAGGAAAGCGGAAUUCCUAGUGUAGCGGUGAAAUGCGUAGAUAUUAGGAGGAACACCAGUGGCGAAGGCGGCUUUCUGGACUGUAACUGACGCUGAGGCUCGAAAGCGUGGGUAGCAAACAGG